This 1018-nucleotide long non-coding RNA is filed under the name Anas platyrhynchos platyrhynchos (common mallard). Its description in RNAcentral is "lncRNA (ENSAPLG00000022606.1)". The record is from RNAcentral. Lineage: Eukaryota; Metazoa; Chordata; Aves; Anseriformes; Anatidae.
AUGAGAUGCGUGCAAGAUCACAACAUCUGCCUCACAUCCUGCACCGAGAUACUCACAGUGCGGCCCCUCCUUCACCCUGCCUCUUCAGAAGACAACUUCCUUAGUAACAAAGUACCACGUAUAUAUAUAUAUAAAAUAACAAACAAAAAGCCCACAACGCUUUUAGGAACGCGGGGCUGGGGCUGGCCCCCAGCAGGCGGCCGAGCCCUACCGGAGCCUCCUCCUCCCCCCUCACCGCCGCCUCAGCUCAGCGCGGCCGUUGGGCACCAACGGACGGCGGCGCGCGCCCCCCUCCCCUCCGCGCACACCUGCCCCGCGCCUCACGGCGCCUCACGGCCCCUCCGCGCCCGCUGCCGGUGCCCGGCCGGUGCCCGGCACCCCUCUCCCCGUCGGGAAACAGCUCCCGAGCGCGGCGGCGGCGGCUUGGCGGGGCUCGCCUCGCCUUGUUUCCACACGGACAGCGGCGGCGAAGGCACCGGCAGGAAGCGGAGCGCGGGCCGGGCCCGACGCGGUCUCCAUGGCGACGCGCUAAAAUGUUUCUCUUUCUAUGCAAUAGCACUUCUUGAAAAUACUGAAGGGAAGAAAAGCUCCAGACAACUUCUAUUUGUCCAUAACAUGUCUGCAAUCAGCAAUGGUAUCAAGAAGGUCAAGACUUCAAGAUUUUUCUACACAUCAAACAAAAUAAGUUCAGAGCUGUGAUGGAGUAUCAGACAUAUAGACAGCUACAAAUCAAGCAGUACAGACAAUUUCUUAUUAUCACCAUUGAAGAGAAACAGACCUGAAAGUGUUCCCGCAGGUCAACUAAGGUAAUCAAAGUUCUUCUCUGUUGCUUUUAAUCAUGUCUGAUGCAGUUCAGUCACCUUGUAAUGAUGAUCUAGUUAAUAUUCUUGAACAGACCUUGCUAACUUUUAUUAAGAUUUCUUGACCUAACAAGUUCUUACAGUAUAUGAUUUUAAAAACUGUAUUGAUUUUAAUCAAACAUUUCUGAAAGACAAAUAAAAUGACAAUAAAACAGGCA